Molecule: ribosomal RNA, 266 nt
Filed under: uncultured bacterium
Lineage: Bacteria
Description: partial 16S ribosomal RNA
Rfam family: Bacterial small subunit ribosomal RNA
Source: RNAcentral
GUCCUAGCCGUAAACGAUGGACACUGAGUGAAGGGGGGCUUGCCCCUCUUUGCUGCAGCUAACGCGUUAAGUGUCCCGCCUGGGGAGUACGGCCGCAAGGUUAAAACUCAAAGGAAUUGACGGGGGCUCGCACAAGCGGUGGAGCAUGUGGUUCAAUUCGAUGCAACGCGAAGAACCUUACCCGGGCUUGAAGUGGAGGUGGUAGGAACCGGAAACGGUAACGACCCCGCAAGGGGAGCCUUCAUCAGGUGUUGCAUGGCUGUCGU